UCCUACGGGAGGCAGCAGUGGGGAAUAUUGCACAAUGGGGGCAAGCCUGAUGCAGCCAUGCCGCGUGUAUGAAGAAGGCCUUCGGGUUGUAAAGUACUUUCAGCGGGGAGGAAGGGGUUAAGGUUAAUAACCUUAGCCAGUGACGUACUCGCAGA
Molecule: ribosomal RNA, 155 nt
Filed under: Citrobacter amalonaticus
Lineage: Bacteria; Pseudomonadati; Pseudomonadota; Gammaproteobacteria; Enterobacterales; Enterobacteriaceae
Description: partial 16S ribosomal RNA
Rfam family: Bacterial small subunit ribosomal RNA
Source: RNAcentral